RNA transcript from Ahaetulla prasina, 3224 nucleotides. It is a transcript of the gene named prostaglandin-endoperoxide synthase 1, with no coding region annotated. NCBI's taxonomy places the organism in Eukaryota, Metazoa, Chordata, Lepidosauria, Squamata, Colubridae. The transcript has 14 exons. The record is from RefSeq and is a predicted model, not a curated record.
UCUCCUCUCCCCUCUGCCUUUCUCCCCUCCUCUCCUUUCCUCCCCUCCCCUCCCUCCCUUCAACUCUCCGCUUCUCUUUCCGUCCAUCUUUUUAUUUUCGUUGUUGUAUAUAAAUUUCCAUUUCCCUACAAAAUACAGUGUAUUUUUUUCCAUCUCUUUCAAAUAUAACUAUACAUUUUCUUGAAAUUACAUUAGUCCAUGCUUCACUUAUACUGCAGGGGAGGCAGUGGCUCAUUGGCCAAGAUGCUGAGCUUGUCGAUCAGAAGGUCAGCAGUUCAGUAGUUCGAAUCCCUGGUGCCGCGUGACGGGGUGAGCUCCCGUGACUUGUCCCAGCUUCUGCCAACCUAGCAGUUCGAAAGCAGGUAUUUUGCCCAGCGCUUGGCACAAAAGGCCACCCAGGCUCCUGCAACCAAGCAGAUGCAAAGGCUCUUUGACAAGGAGAAGGAGGAGUUUUGGAAGAAGGUGGAGACCAGGCUGUCUUGGAGGAAAAAGCCCAGGAGUCCGCUCAGCUGCCUGGUGGAACCAGGCUGAUCCUCCCUCCCUCCUUCCUUCCUUCCUUCCCUCCUUCCUUCUUUCUCUCCUGCACAAUGCAAUGCUCGUGGGCUGCCUUCCUACCCUUGGCGUUGCUGGUGGCUCUCAAUGCCAGCCCAGGAGACUCCGGUUCAGUGGAUCCGUGCUGUUAUUUCCCGUGCCAACACAAUGGUUUGUGCGUCCAGGUUGGCACGGAAGAGUACGAAUGUGAUUGCACCCGGACGGGAUACUAUGGCACCAACUGCAGCUCACCGGAAUUCUGGACGUGGGUACACGACACCCUUAAGCCGAGCCCGUCUUCCGUUCAUUACCUGCUGACCCAUUUCACCUGGCUGUGGAGCAUCGUGAAUAGGACUUUCCUCCGAGGUCUUUUGAUGAGAGUGGUGUUGACGGCCCGCGCCAACCUCAUCCCCAGCCCGCCCACCUUCAGCGGCAACUAUGGAUACCUGAACUGGGAAUCCUACAGCAACCUCAGCUACUUCACCCGCAUCCUCCCGCCAGUGCCCCCCAACUGCCCCACGCCGAUGGGGGUGAAAGGACCACUGGAGCUGCCAGAAGCCGAACUGGUAGCGGAAGAACUUCUGCUGCGUCGGACUUUCCACCCGGACCCACAAAGGACCAACCUGAUGUUCUCUUUCUUCGCCCAACACUUCACGCAUCAGUUCUUCAAGACGUUUGGCAAGAUGGGCCGCGGGUUUACCUGGGCUCUGGGCCACGGGGUGGAUCUUGGCCACAUCUACGGAGACAACCUGGAACGCCAACAUCAGCUACGCCUCUUCAAGGACGGGAAGCUGAAAUACCAGCUGAUGAAGGGAGAAAUGUACCCCCCAACAAUCAGGGAAGCUGCCGUGCACAUGAUCUACCCACAAGGCACCCCUCCGGAGCAAAGGUUUGCCACGGGCCAGGAGGUCUUCGGUCUUCUCCCGGGCCUCCUGAUGUAUGCCACCCUCUGGCUUCGGGAGCACAACCGUGUCUGCGACUUGCUGAAGAAGGAACACCCCACUUGGGAUGACGAGCAGCUCUUCCAGACCGCCCGGCUCAUUCUGACAGGUGAGACGAUCAAAAUCGUCAUUGAGGAUUACGUCCAGCAUCUCAGCGGCUACCACCUGAAGCUGAUGUUUGAGCCCGAGCUUCUCUUUGGGGCCCAGUUCCAGUACCAGAACCGCAUCGCUCUGGAGUUCAACCAGCUCUACCACUGGCAUGCCUUGAUGCCGGAUUCCUUCCAGCUGCCAGAUAGAGAAUACAGUUAUGACCAGUUUCUUUUCAACAACACCAUUCUCACCCACUACAGCAUAGAGACCCUGGUAGAGGCCUUCUCCAAACAGCGAGCCGGCCAGAUCGGUGGGAAGCCAAAUAUCAACAAGAACCUUCUCAAAGUGGCAAUUGGAACGAUCAAGGAAUCGCGGCUGUUGCGUUUCCAGCCGUUUAAUGAGUACCGGAAGAGAUUCCAUCUUAAGCCGUACACGUCGUUCCGGGAACUGACAGAUGAUGAGAACAUGGUUGCCAAGCUGGAGGAGAUGUAUGGAGACAUCGACGCUCUGGAAUUCUUCCUGGGCCUGUUGGUGGAGAAGACCUACCCCAACAGCAUCUUUGGAGAAAGCAUGAUCGAGAUGGGGGCUCCCUUCUCCUUGAAGGGGCUUCUGGGGAACCCCAUCUGCUCCCCCGAAUACUGGAAGCCCAGCACUUUUGGGGGCGCCGCCGGCUUCCGAAUCGUGAACACGGCCAGCUUGCAAAAACUGGUUUGCCUCAACGUGAAACGGUGUCCCUACGUGGCUUUCCACACGCCCGAUCAUGGAGAGGCCGAAGGCUCCGAGAAGAAGACGCCGCCUUCAACGGAACUCUAACAAAGCUCUCUUCGGUUGAGUUUUAUACAGAGAGUCAAGGAUGUCUUGCCCUGCAUCUGGAGUGGUGUGACUGGGAGGCAUCUCCAGUUGGGACGGUGCAUUGUUUGGACCACGUGAUGAACAUGUGGGUGCAGGGGGAAGGGACUUGGACUUUCUUUUGGGUGGGGGAAAACCUGAAAGCUUUCAGAUCUGGGUUUUUCCAGAUGUGCCAAUAUGACAUCUUCUAAUAAAAUGGAACUUUGAGGGACUUCAAGCCUUGGAGUCUUCUUUUGUUGGGGGGGUAUUACUUGGAACCCUGACAGCCUGGGUGCCUGCAGACUUAUGCCUGGGAGAGAUGGGGCAUCAAUGCUAACAAGCGAUGGAACUCUGCAAAUAAUCAGGAAGCACAAAGAUAACGGAAGAGGGACCUUGGAGGUCUUCUAGUCCAACCCGCUGCUCAAGCAGGAAACCCUAUACCAGGGGUGUCAAACUUAAGGCCCGCAGGCUGGAUCCAGCCCGCAGGGGGCUUAGAUCUAGCCUGUGGGGCCGCCCUGGAAACAGCGGCCCAGGUGCCCAUUUUUGCUGGCAUUUUCGCAACACAGGCGCCACUGACAUGAGUUAUGGUAUGCUGGCCACGCCCCCCACAAGGUCAAACACAACCCUGAUGCCUCCCUCAAUGAAAUCAAGUUUGGCAUCUCUGUCCAAUUUCUUCUUGAAAAUCUCCAGUGAUGGAGCAUUCACAAUUUCUGGACGGAAGCCUUUUCACUGAUUAAUGGUUCUCACUGUCAGAAAAUUUCUCUUUAUUGCUAGGUCGCUUCUCUCCACAAUUCUGUUGUUUCUUAUGUUGCCUUCAAAUGCUCUGGAAAAUAG